GACGAACGCUGGCGGCGUGCUUAACACAUGCAAGUCGAACGGAAAGGCCCCUUUGGGGGUACUCGAGUGGCGAACGGGUGAGUAACACGUGAGUAACCUGCCCUUGACUUCGGGAUAACUUCAGGAAACUGGGGCUAAUACCGGAUAGGAAUCCUUGCUGCAUGGUGGGGGUUGGAAAGCUUCGGCGGUUUUGGAUGGACUCGCGGCUUAUCAGCUUGUUGGUGGGGUAGUGGCUUAUCAAGGCUUUGACGGGUAGCCGGCCUGAGAGGGCGACCGGCCACAUUGGGACUGAGAGACGGCCCAGACUCCUACGGGAGGCAGCAGUGGGGAAUAUUGCACAAUGGGCGGAAGCCGGAUGCAGCAACGCCGCGUGCGGGAUGACGGCCUUCGGGUUGUAAACCGCUUUCAGCAGGGGCGAAGCUUGUGGUGACGGUACCUGCAGAAGAAGCACCGGCUAACUACGUG
This 465-nucleotide ribosomal RNA is filed under the name uncultured bacterium. RNAcentral describes it as "partial 16S ribosomal RNA". It matches the Rfam family "Bacterial small subunit ribosomal RNA", at positions 28 to 507 of the family's 1533-position model. The record is from RNAcentral.